RNAcentral lists this ribosomal RNA (412 nucleotides) under Putaoa huaping. Its description in RNAcentral is "partial 16S ribosomal RNA". It matches the Rfam family "Bacterial large subunit ribosomal RNA", at positions 1842 to 2580 of the family's 2925-position model. The record is from RNAcentral. Lineage: Eukaryota; Metazoa; Arthropoda; Arachnida; Araneae; Pimoidae.
AUUAUUAUAAGUAAAAUCUGCUCCAUGUAAAAUAAAUAGCCGCAGAAAUUUUACUGUGCUAAGGUAGCAUAAUCAUUAGCCUUCUAAUUAAGGGCUGGAAUGAACGAUUUAACAAUUUAAUUACUCUUAAACUAAAAAAUUUGAAAUUUUAUUAAAUAUAAAAAUAUAUUUAUAUAAAAAAAAGACGACAAGACCCUUUCGAACUUUACUUCAGUUUAGCUGGGGCAGCUAAUUAAAAAUAAUUUUAAUUUAAAUAUUAAAACAAAAGACCCAAUAAAAUUGAUUAUUAGAACAAGUUACCAAAGGGAUAACAGCGCAAUAUUUUUCUGAAGCUCUUAUAUAAAAAAAUGAUUACGACCUCGAUGUUGAAUUAAUUUCCCUUUAGGCGCAAUAGCUUUAAUAGGGGGUCUGU